UGGGGAAUAUUGGACAAUGGGCGAAAGCCUGAUCCAGCCAUGCCGCGUGAGUGAUGAAGGCCUUAGGGUUGUAAAGCUCUUUCACCCACGACGAUGAUGACGGUAGUGGGAGAAGAAGCCCCGGCUAACUUCGUGCCAGCAGCCGCGGUAAUACGAAGGGGGCUAGCGUUGUUCGGAAUUACUGGGCGUAAAGCGCACGCAGGCGGUCCGAUUAGUCAGAAGUGAAAGCCCCGGGCUUAACCUGGGAACUGCUUUUGAUACUGUCGGGCUUGAAUCACGGAGAGGGUAGUGGAAUUCCGAGUGUAGAGGUGAAAUUCGUAGAUAUUCGGAAGAACACCAGUGGCGAAGGCGACUACCUGGCCGUCGAUUGACGCUCAUGUGCGAAAGCGUGGGGAGCAAACA
Molecule: ribosomal RNA, 402 nt
Filed under: uncultured bacterium
Lineage: Bacteria
Also listed under: 1 other name
Description: partial 16S ribosomal RNA
Rfam family: Bacterial small subunit ribosomal RNA
Source: RNAcentral